This 64-nucleotide transfer RNA is filed under the name Euthalenessa festiva. RNAcentral describes it as "tRNA-Trp". The record is from RNAcentral. Lineage: Eukaryota; Metazoa; Annelida; Polychaeta; Phyllodocida; Sigalionidae.
AAAGCCUUAAGUUAACUAAACUACUUGCCUUCAAAGCAAGCAAUGAAAUUUAAUUCAGGCUUUG